This 493-nucleotide ribosomal RNA is filed under the name uncultured bacterium. RNAcentral's name for it is "partial 16S ribosomal RNA". It matches the Rfam family "Bacterial small subunit ribosomal RNA", at positions 29 to 507 of the family's 1533-position model. The record is from RNAcentral.
ACGAACGCUGGCGGCGUGCUUAACACAUGCCCGUCGAACGGUGAAGCGCCUUCCUUUUUGGUGGGUGUGGAUGAGUGGCGAACGGGUGAGUAACACGUGAGUAACCUGCCCCCUUCUUCUGGAUAACCGCAUGAAAGUGUGGCUAAUACGGGAUAUUCUGGGUCUGUCGCAUGAUGGGUCUGGGAAAGAUAUUGUUUCGGUGGGGGAUGGGCUCGCGGCCUAUCAGCUUGUUGGUGGGGUGAUGGCCUACCAAGGCGGUGACGGGUAGCCGGCCUGAGAGGGUGGACGGUCACACUGGGACUGAGACACGGCCCAGACUCCUACGGGAGGCAGCAGUGGGGAAUAUUGCACAAUGGGCGCAAGCCUGAUGCAGCGACGCCGCGUGAGGGAUGGAGGCCUUCGGGUUGUGAACCUCUUUCGCCAGUGAAGCAGGCCUGCCUCGUUUGUGGGUGGGUUGACGGUAGCUGGAUAAGAAGCGCCGGCUAACUACGUG